GACGAACGCUGGCGGCGUGCCUAAUACAUGCAAGUUGAGCGCUGAAGGUUGGUACUUGUACCAACUGGAUGAGCAGCGAACGGGUGAGUAACGCGUGGGGAAUCUGCCUUUGAGCGGGGGACAACAUUUGGAAACGAAUGCUAAUACCGCAUAAAAACUUUAAACACAAGUUUUAAGUUUGAAAGAUGCAGUUGCAUCACUCAAAGAUGAUCCCGCGUUGUAUUAGCUAGUUGGUGAGGUAAAGGCUCACCAAGGCGAUGAUACAUAGCCGACCUGAGAGGGUGAUCGGCCACAUUGGGACUGAGACACGGCCCAAACUCCUACGGGAGGCAGCAGUAGGGAAUCUUCGGCAAUGGACGAAAGUCUGACCGAGCAACGCCGCGUGAGUGAAGAAGGUUGUCGGAUCGUAAAACUCUGUUGGUAGAGAAGAACGUUGGUGAGAGUGGAAAGCUCAUCAAGUGACGGUAACUACCCAGAAAGGGACGGCUAACUACGUG
Molecule: ribosomal RNA, 497 nt
Filed under: uncultured bacterium
Lineage: Bacteria
Description: partial 16S ribosomal RNA
Rfam family: Bacterial small subunit ribosomal RNA
Source: RNAcentral